CGAACGAGUUUUGGUCGAUGAACGGUGCUUGCACUGWGAUUCAACUUAAAACGAGUGGCGGACGGGUGAGUAACUCUGUGGGGAAA
RNAcentral lists this ribosomal RNA (86 nucleotides) under Lacticaseibacillus casei. RNAcentral describes it as "Lactobacillus casei partial 16S ribosomal RNA". Lineage: Bacteria; Bacillati; Bacillota; Bacilli; Lactobacillales; Lactobacillaceae. The record is from RNAcentral.